UUGACCCUAGCAAGACUACCAAAAGCGAAAGCAGUUGGCUAGGCUAUACUCUUUGUGAUUAUAUUUUAUGCACACACACGCAGCAUACGCACACACACACACUCACGCACAUACUGUGUUCCCGUGGCUUAAAUAUAUAUACACUUUACAAUGAAGAACGAAGGUUGGGGGAUCAAAGAGGAUCAGAUACCCUCGUCGUCCCAUUAAUUACAUCAAACGAUGGGCUCUCAAUUGCAUUUUCUCGUAAAUUGCAAAUUUCCUCAGCCUACAAAAUGAAUUGGCUUGAGCUCGUAUUAUUCGUAAUACGCUCGCCUCACUAUUUUCGUACGGUCUCGAUGGACGUUUCAUUUAUAUUUUUUUGCGUGUAAGCAUUAUGUUAUUCUUUGAAACAUAAGAAUGCAUUGCGUGCACUUGAUUUUCGGAGCUUUGCGCUCAAUUCUGGUGAGAUGUAAGCACUAUGUCAUACUGCCCGCAGCGUAUGCCUUCGGGCAUUUCGUUCUGUCGUGUGUAGUUGACAAUUUUGGUGUGAAGCACGCUUUAGGCACGCGCUUACUGCAGAAAUGUCUGAGACAUUCCCUUCCGGGGGUAGUAUGCACGCAAGUGUGAAACUUGAAGGAAUUGACGGAAGGGCACCACAAGAACGCGUGGAGCAUGUGGCUUAAUUU
This 665-nucleotide ribosomal RNA is filed under the name Bulimina aculeata. RNAcentral describes it as "partial 18S ribosomal RNA". It matches the Rfam family "Eukaryotic small subunit ribosomal RNA", at positions 921 to 1196 of the family's 1831-position model. The record is from RNAcentral. Lineage: Eukaryota; Foraminifera; Rotaliida; Buliminidae.